UACGUAGGGCGCAAGCGUUGUCCGGAAUUAUUGGGCGUAAAGAGCUCGUAGGUGGUUUGUUACGUCUGCUGUGAAAACCUAGGGCUUAACCCUGGGCCUGCAGUGGAUACGGGCGGACUAGAGGUAGGUAGGGGAGAAUGGAAUUCCCGGUGUAGCGGUGAAAUGCGCAGAUAUCGGGAGGAACACCGGUGGCGAAGGCGGUUCUCUGGGCCUUACCUGACACUAAGGAGCGAAAGCGUGGGGAGCGAACAGG
Molecule: ribosomal RNA, 253 nt
Filed under: uncultured bacterium
Lineage: Bacteria
Description: partial 16S ribosomal RNA
Rfam family: Bacterial small subunit ribosomal RNA
Source: RNAcentral